This 274-nucleotide ribosomal RNA is filed under the name Diversispora epigaea. The record is from RNAcentral. Lineage: Eukaryota; Fungi; Glomeromycota; Glomeromycetes; Diversisporales; Diversisporaceae.
CAGUCGCGUUUGCCGGGACUCAGCCUUGCUUCUGCUUGGUGUACUUUCUGGUUUGAUGGGCCAACAUCAAUUUUGACCGUUGGAGAAAGGCUUUGGGAAUGUGGCACCUUAGGGUGUGUUAUAGCCCUUUGUUGUAUACAACGGUUGGGAUUGAGGACUGCAGCAUGCCUUCAUGGCCGGGGUUACCCCACGUACAUGCUUAGGAUGUUGGCAUAAGGGCUUUAAUCGACCGUCUUGAACACGGACCAAGGAGUCUAACAUAUGUGCGAGUGUU